This is a long non-coding RNA of Oncorhynchus tshawytscha (Chinook salmon), 462 nucleotides long. The record is from Ensembl. Lineage: Eukaryota; Metazoa; Chordata; Actinopteri; Salmoniformes; Salmonidae.
GGAAUGUGCUAGAACAGUUGAGGGAGUCAGAGUUAGAGUCUGAGUCAGUCAGAGUCAGUCAGAGUUAGAGCCAGUCAGAGUCAGAGCCAGUCAGAGUCAGAGUUGGUGUCAGAGUCGGUGUCAGUCAGAGCCAGUCAGAGUCAGAGCCCGUCAGAGUCAGAGUUAGAGCCCUUCAGAGUCAGAGCCAGUCAGAGUCAGAGCCAGUCAGAGUCAGAGCCCGUCAGAGUCAGAGCCCAUCAGAGUCAGAGUUAGAGCCAGUCAGAGUCAGAGCCGGUGUCAGAGUCGGUGUCAGAGCCAGUCAGAGUUAGAGCCAGUCAGAGUUAGAGCCAGUCAGAGUCAGAGCCAGUCAGAGUCAGAGUCGGUGUCAGAGUCAGAGUCGGUGUCAGAGUUAGAGCCAGUCAGAGUUAGAGCCAGUCAGAGUCAGAGCCCGUCAGAGUCAGAGUUAGAGCCAGUCAGAGUCAG